RNAcentral lists this ribosomal RNA (596 nucleotides) under uncultured fungus. RNAcentral describes it as "eukaryotic LSU rRNA". It matches the Rfam family "Eukaryotic large subunit ribosomal RNA", at positions 40 to 603 of the family's 3401-position model. Lineage: Eukaryota; Fungi. The record is from RNAcentral.
AUAUCAUUAAGCGGAGGAAGAGAAACCAACAGGGAUUCCCUUAGUAGCGGCGAGCGAACCGGGAAAAGCUCAAGCUCUAAAUCUGAACGGCCGAGUGCUGUUCCGAAUUGUAGUCUCGCAGGUGGACAUUGUUGGCGUUCCCCUCUGGAUCUAGAUCCCUUGGAACAGGGUGCCAUGGAGGGUGAGAGCCCCGUGUGACGGUCCAGAGCCAAAGGUGUAAAUGGGGAUGCCGGUUAAGCAUUGUUCAUUUCCGGAGUCGGACUGCUCGGGAGUGCAGUCCCAACUGGGUGGUGGACCCCACCUAAAGCUAGAACACUGACAGGAGACCGAUAGCGGACAAGUACCGUGAGGGAAAGAUGAAAAGGACCCCGGGAGGGGAGUCAAAAGUGCCUGAAAUCGUUGAGAGGGAAGCGCUCAGGGACGAGGUAUUAUUUUGUUAUUUCCAGUAAUGAAUAUAAGCAACCCUUGGCAGUUGUCCGAUGGGAUGACUGGUUUUCUGUUGACCGGGAGGUUAGGAGUGUUGUACAAGGGAGGGGGGCUUGCUCCCCUUUUGUAGUGCGAUGCCCUACAUCCUUCUUCAAUCAAAAGGAGACCGU